Molecule: ribosomal RNA, 301 nt
Filed under: uncultured bacterium
Lineage: Bacteria
Description: partial 16S ribosomal RNA
Rfam family: Bacterial small subunit ribosomal RNA
Source: RNAcentral
CAGCAGCCGCGGGAAUACGAAGGGGGCUAGCGUUGCUCGGAAUUACUGGGCGUAAAGGGCGCGUAGGCGGACAAUUAAGUCGGGGGUGAAAGCCCGGGGCUCAACCUCGGAAUUGCCUUCGAUACUGGCUGUCUUGAGUGUGGGAGAGGUGUGUGGAACUCCGAGUGUAGAGGUGAAAUUCGUAGAUAUUCGGAAGAACACCAGUGGCGAAGGCGACACACUGGCUCACUACUGACGCUGAGGAGCGAAAGCGUGGGGAGCGAACAGGAUUAGAUACCCCCGUAGUCCCUGUCUCUUAUAC